AUGGCCUGGACCUCUCUCCUCCUGGGCCUCCUAGCUCACUGCACAGGCUCUGUGGUCUCCUAUGAGCUGAAUCAGCCACCCUCAGUGUCGGUGUCUCUGGGACAGACAGUCAAGAUGACGUGUCAGGGAGACAACAUAAGUAAUAAAUAUGCUCACUGGUACCAGUGGCAUCCAGGCCAGGCCCCUGUGAUGGUAAUGUAUGAGGAUAGCACAGGGCCCUCAGGGAUCCCUGACCGGUUCUCUGGCUCCAACUCGGGGAACACAGCCACCCUGACCAUCAGCGGUGCCCGGGCCGAGGACAAGGCUGACUAUUACUGUCAGGUGUGGGACAGCAGCAGUAAACAUCCACAGUGA
Non-coding RNA from Talpa occidentalis (Iberian mole), 354 nucleotides. NCBI's taxonomy places the organism in Eukaryota, Metazoa, Chordata, Mammalia, Eulipotyphla, Talpidae. The record is from the annotation of a RefSeq genome assembly.